UUGUCAGUUUCCUUCAGUUUAAAAUACUCAGUAUGCCAAGGUGCCAUAUUUUGGGAUAUUGUGUUCUGAACCUUGACAGCUGCUGCUUUGUGGUAACAAUUGAGCAUCUCCCUCAUAUUAAGGGUAGGCCCACAGGAUCCAGGGUUUAAAGGGCGUUGUCAGUGUUGCUGAAGAGGCUUUGCAGGUGAUGUGGUCUCCAAGCCAGCCCUUCCUUCCUCACCCCCGCCCUUGUGUUAGCCUAUCAGUUGAACAGGUGAAUAGGCCGGUAUUGAACAUCAGUCCUGCAAGGAAGAAGGGCGCAUUCCAUAUUUGGGGUCUCUGGCCCCAUUUCCUGAGCCUGUUGCAUGUUGAGGUUGUGUUUGUUUUCCUCAAACUUGACACCUUUGUUUGAGAUGCUACCUCUUCAUUGUCACCUGCCAAGUCAUUCUGGCUGCCGCUGCCAUGUCCAGGGUGGAAUUGCUCAGCUGGCAGGUCCUCUCCCUGUUAGAGCAUGUUCUGGAACUUUGUAGGUUUUCACUGUGUCUCCAAGUCCUACUACCUGAUACCCUUUGAUAUUUUGGUGAUUCCAAGUCGUAUGGGCACAAUUCCUAGCGUAGACCAAAUGCUCAAAAAAUGAUGAACCGAUUAAAUAAAUGGCCGUAAAUAAAUAUCUUCCUUGGCUUGCAAGUAAGUUGCUACCUUGAUGCCAAUUCUCUGCUGCCUCUUUCCUUAAAAGUGUGUCUUAUUCUGCUACUGUAUUAAAGGUAGUAUAACAUUAGAGGCAGAAAGAUUUGGUUUUGAAUGCCAGGUCUGUCACUCCUAGCCAUAUAACCUUAAAACAACAUACUUUCCCACACUUUGGUUUUCUCAUUUGUGAGAUGAGAUGAACAAUGGACCUCUGUUUAAGGUGAUUGUUAAAAUUAGAUGUUUGUAGCACACUUAGCACACUGUGCCUGGUCCACAGUAAAGUGCUUAAUAAAUGGUAGUCAUGA
RNAcentral lists this long non-coding RNA (971 nucleotides) under Homo sapiens (human). RNAcentral's name for it is "HSALNT0147281". Lineage: Eukaryota; Metazoa; Chordata; Mammalia; Primates; Hominidae. The record is from RNAcentral.